Molecule: ribosomal RNA, 977 nt
Filed under: Clostridioides difficile
Lineage: Bacteria; Bacillati; Bacillota; Clostridia; Peptostreptococcales; Peptostreptococcaceae
Description: partial 23S ribosomal RNA
Rfam family: Bacterial large subunit ribosomal RNA
Source: RNAcentral
AUAAGAUUCAUAGUCGAAAGGGCAACAGCCCAGAUCGUCAGCUAAGGUCCCUAAAUGUAAGUUAAGUGGUAAAGGAUGUGGGAUUGCACAGACAACCAGGAUGUUGGCUUAGAAGCAGCCACUCAUUCAAAGAGUGCGUAAUAGCUCACUGGUCGAGUGAUCCUGCGCCGAAGAUUUCCGGGGCUAAAACUUACUACCGAAGCUACGGCAUCAGUAAUGAUGGGUAGGGGAGCUUCCCAUACGGGUUGAAGCAUGACCGUAAGGACAUGUGGACAGUAUGGGAGUGAGAAUGUUGGCAUGAGUAGCGAGAUGUGGGUGAGAAUCCCACAGGCCGUAAACCCAAGGUUUCCAGGGGAAGGUUCGUCCGCCCUGGGUUAGUCGGGACCUAAGCUGAGGCCGAAAGGCGUAGGUGAUGGACAACAGGUUGAUAUUCCUGUACUACCGAUAACCGUUUGAGAGAAGGGAUGACACAGUAGGAUAAGCUAAGCACACUGUUGGUUAUGUGUGCCCAAGCAUUGAGGCAGUCAAAGUAGGCAAAUCCGCUUUGAUAAUGCUGGGAUGUGAUGGGGAGCGAAAUUUAGUAGCGAAGUAGCUGAUUUCACACUGUCAAGAAAAGUCUCUAUCGAGGUUAAAGGUACCCGUACCGCAAACCGACACAGGUGGGUGAGGAGAGUAUCCUAAGGCCAGCGAGAGAACUGUUGUUAAGGAACUCGGCAAAAUGACCCCGUAACUUAGGGAUAAGGGGUGCCACCAUCAGGUGGCCGCAGAGAAUAGGCCCAAGCGACUGUUUACCAAAAACAUAGGUUUCUGCUAAGUCGCAAGACGAUGUAUAGGAGCUGACGCCUGCCCGGUGCUGGAAGGUUAAGGGGAUCUGUUAGAGCAAUCGAAGCAGUGAACUUAAGCCCCAGUAAACGGCGGCCGUAACUAUAACGGUCCUAAGGUAGCGAAAUUCCUUGUCGGGUAAGUUCCGACCCGCA